This 119-nucleotide ribosomal RNA is filed under the name Pteropus alecto (black flying fox). Lineage: Eukaryota; Metazoa; Chordata; Mammalia; Chiroptera; Pteropodidae. The record is from RNAcentral.
CUCUAUGGCCAUGCCACCCUGAACAUGCCCGAUCUCGUCUGAUCUCGGAAGCUAAGCAGGGUCAGGCCUGGUUAGUACUUGGAUGGGAGACCACCUAGGAAUAUCAGGUGCUGUAGGCG